UGUGUGUGUGCUGGUGUGAGAAAUGUCUGCCCCUUACUAGCUGAGACUCAACCCGGGCAGCAUUGAGAUGAGACCUCCAAGCCCCGAGGAGCUUGCUAUUCCAUUAUUAUAGCUUCACCAUGGGCAGCUGAGGCUGAAACCACUCAGCCUGUGAGUCUCCUCCUGAACAUCCCUCUGCCUCCCGAUGAACUUCCUCAAUCACCCACAGGCACUGUGGGAGUCUGAGCCACAAGGUGAAGAGGGUUUAGUACACCCCACGUAGUAAGCAGAGCGUAGAGUGGCUUCGGUGUAUGUGUGAAGAAACACAGAGCUCGGGGGUGUUUGUAAGAUAGAACUAGGUGCUGUGAAGAGGUGACGGUGAAACAAGGAUCGUGGCAAAGGUGAUUUUUCUUUUGCAUUUACAGUUUUCUCAGGGGGCCUGUUUGCCAUGUGUUUUGCUGUUGCUCUGUCUGUCUCUCUGUCUCCCUCUGUCUCUCUGUGUGUAUUUGUCUCUGUUUCUCUGUCUUAUUGUGUGUGUGUGUGUGUGUGCCUGUGUACGUGUGUGUGUGUGUGUGUGUGUGUGUGUGUGUGUGCGCUCGCGAGUGCACAUGUCUUGAGGAGUCUUGUUGAAGGUCAGUGUGAAGUUCACCCCACGUAGACACUCAGCAAGGGGAGCCAUGGGGACCAUUGCCCCAGCCUCCCCAAGAACUAGAAGACCAGGCUGCAAGCACGUUACCUUUCAUUUCCAAUGAGUCAUCAGGCUUUUUUUUUUUUUUUUAAUUUCUAUAUGAUUCUUGGGGGAGAGAAAAAAAUGAUGAUGGCCAAAUAAGGAAGGAAACAGAAGAAGUGAAGGCCACCGUCUUCCUCAUCAACUCUAGAGAAAGAAAAGCCCAAGCCAGAAGGCCAACUCAACUCCCUUAAGAGACCUCACACAGUUUUAACAGCGCAUCAGACCACUUACAGGGUAAACUUCAUCUUACUUCAGGAACCUGAAGAUGGAUUUGGGGGAGUUCCUGGAUCUCUCUGAAUAAAUCUCCUUUUUCUGCCUCUCACUAUUGAUUUGGUUCUUGAUUGCCUGACUGAAGAUGAGUGGCU
Non-coding RNA from Rattus norvegicus (Norway rat), 1074 nucleotides. The record is from RefSeq and is a predicted model, not a curated record. NCBI's taxonomy places the organism in Eukaryota, Metazoa, Chordata, Mammalia, Rodentia, Muridae.